Molecule: ribosomal RNA, 1039 nt
Filed under: epibiont metagenome
Description: bacterial SSU rRNA
Rfam family: Bacterial small subunit ribosomal RNA
Source: RNAcentral
ACUCCUUUUCACCACUUAGGUGGACAGGGAAACGGUUUAUUCUGCCAAGGGAUAAGACUAUAUCCUAUCAGCUAGUUGGUGGUGUAAGAGACUACCAAGGCUAUGACGGGUAACUGGUCUGAGAGGAUGAUCAGUCACACUGGAACUGAGACACGGUCCAGACUCCUACGGGAGGCAGCAGUGGGGAAUAUUGGGCAAUGGAGGCAACUCUGACCCAGCAACGCCGCGUGGAGGAUGACGCAUUUCGGUGUGUAAACUCCUUUUUUGUGGGAAGAUAAUGACGGUACCAUAAGAAUAAGCAUCGGCUAACUCCGUGCCAGCAGCCGCGGUAAUACGGAGGAUGCAAGCGUUACUCGGAAUCACUGGGCGUAAAGCGCAUGUAGGCGGGUAGUAAAGUCAGAAGUGAAAGCCUACGGCUUAACCGUAGAACUGCUUCUGAAACUCACUACCUAGAGUCUGGGAGGGGAGAAUGGAAUUAGUAGUGUAGGGGUAAAAUCCGUAGAGAUUACUAGGAAUACCAAAAGCGAAGGCGAUUCUCUGGAACAGUACUGACGCUGAGAUGCGAAAGCGUGGGGAGCAAACAGGAUUAGAUACCCUGGUAGUCCACGCCCUAAACGAUGAAUGUUUAGUCGUUGGUGUCCUAGUGACAUCAGUGAUGCAGUUAACACAUUAAACAUUCCGCCUGGGGAGUACGGUCGCAAGAUUAAAACUCAAAGGAAUAGACGGGGACCCGCACAAGUGGUGGAGCAUGUGGUUUAAUUCGAAGAUACGCGAAGAACCUUACCUAGCCUUGACAUAUAUCGGAAUUCUCCAGAAAUGGAUCAAGUGCCUUCGGGAGCCGAUAUACAGGUGCUGCACGGCUGUCGUCAGCUCGUGUCGUGAGAUGUUGGGUUAAGUCCCGCAACGAGCGCAAGCCUCGUCCUUAGUUGCUAACGGUUCGGCCGAGGACUCUAAGGAGACUGACUUCGCAGGAGGAGGAAGGUGAGGACGACAUCAAGUCAUCAUGGCCCUUACGGCUAGGGCAACACACGAUGCUACA